Molecule: ribosomal RNA, 1736 nt
Filed under: Variovorax sp.
Lineage: Bacteria; Pseudomonadati; Pseudomonadota; Betaproteobacteria; Burkholderiales; Comamonadaceae
Description: partial 23S ribosomal RNA
Rfam family: Bacterial large subunit ribosomal RNA
Source: RNAcentral
ACCCGGGGAACUGAAACAUCUCAGUACCCGGAGGAAAAGAAAGCAACCGCGACUCCCUCAGUAGCGGCGAGCGAACGGGGACCAGCCUAAACCGGUGGGGACACCCACCGGGGUCGUGGGGUCUGCGACAUGGGACCGAUUGCGAGAGCCGAACUCCCUUGGAAAAGGGGGCCAGAGCGGGUGAGAGCCCCGUAGGCGAAUUGCGAAUCGGCCCUAGCGGAUACCCGAGUAGGGUCGGGCACGUGAAACCCGGCUUGAAUCGGCGGGGACCAUCCCGCAAGGCUAAGGACUCGAUGACGACCGAUAGCGAACCCAGUAGGGCGACCGAACGGUGGGAAGAACCCCGACAAGGGGAGGACACUGAACCUGAAACCCCGUGCCUACGAGCGGUGGGAGCGGCGUGCCGCAAGGCCCCGUGACCGCGUGCCUUUUGCAUAAUGAUCCGGCGAGUUAUGGUGUCCGGCCACAGGUUAACCUCUUCAGGAGGGGAGCCGCAGGGAAACCGAGUCUUAACCGGGCGACAAGUCGGACGCCAUAGACGCGAAACCAGGUGACCUACCCAUGGGCAGGUUGAAGCGGCCGUAACAGGCCGUGGAGGACCGAACCCACCAGUGUUGAAAAACUGGGGGAGGACCCGUGGGGAGGAGUCAAAGUCUCAUCAAACCUGGAGAUAGCUCGUUCUCUCCGAAAUGGCUUUAGGGCCAGCCUCGGACCAUUACCCGCUGGGGGUAGAGCGACGGAAUUCGGUCGGGGGGCUUCCCGCCUACCCGCCGAAACCCAACUCCGAAUACCAGCGGAUGGACCCCGGGAGUCAGAGCGUGGGGGAGAAGCUUCAUGCUCAAAAGGGAAAGAACCCAGACCGCCGACCAAGGCCCCCAAGACGACGCUCAGUGGUAAAGGAAGUGGGAUCGCGGUGACAGCCCGGAUGUUGGCUUAGAAGCAGCCACCAUUUCAAAAGUGCGUAACAGCUUACGGGUCGAGCCAUCCCGCGCCGAAAAUGACGGGGACUACAAGCGUCGCGCCGCAGUCGCGGAUUCGUCUCCUCGGAGACGAGUGGUAGGAGAGCGUCGAAAUCGCGUUGAAGCCGUACCGGUAAGGAACGGUGGAGCGACUUCGAGUGCGUAUGCCGGAACGAGUAACGAUAAGACGGGUGGGAAGCCCGUCCGCCGAAAGCACAAGGUUUCCUGGGGAAGGUCAAUCCGCCCAGGGUCAGUCGGGUCCUAAGACCAGGCCCAAGGGCGUAGUCGAUGGGCAGGCGGUUAAUAUUCCGCCACCCGACGGGGAGGUUGAUGAGGGGAGGACGCCGGAGGAUUUUUGGGUCGGGGUGACAGACGCCCCCGUGCCGCAAGGCCGACAGCAUUCGAUCUGGAAGCCCAAGAGAAUCCGGCCGCGAAAAGCCCCCCUCGGACGAACCGUCGGCCCGUACCGCAAUCCGACACAGGUGUGCCAGGUGAGAAUCCGAAGGCGUUCGGGAGAACCCUCGUGAAGGAACUCGGCAAAAUGACCCCGUACCUUCGGUAUAAGGGGUGCUCAUCACGCAAGUGGUGAGCCGCAGAGAAUCGGCUCUAGCGACUGUUUAUCAAAAACACAGGACUCUGCCAACUCGCAAGAGGAUGUAUAGAGUCUGACGCCUGCUCGGUGUCGGUAGGUUGAGGGAGGCGGUUAGCGCAAGCAAAGCUGCCGACCGAAGCCCCGAUAAACGGCGGCCGUAACUAUGACGGUCCUAAGGUAGCGAA